UACGAAGGGGGCUAGCGUUGCUCGGAAUGACUGGGCGUAAAGGGCGCGUAGGCGGAUGGCAUAGUCAGAUGUGAAAUUCCCGGGCUUAACCCGGGGACUGCAUUUGAUACGUGUCGUCUGAGUUCGGAAGAGGGUCGUGGAAUUCCCAGUGUAGAGGUGAAAUUCGUAGAUAUUGGGAAGAACACCGGUGGCGAAGGCGGCGAGCUGGUCCAUUACUGACGCUGAGGCGCGACAGCGUGGGGAGCAAACAGG
Molecule: ribosomal RNA, 252 nt
Filed under: uncultured bacterium
Lineage: Bacteria
Description: partial 16S ribosomal RNA
Rfam family: Bacterial small subunit ribosomal RNA
Source: RNAcentral